Molecule: non-coding RNA, 115 nt
Organism: Triticum aestivum (bread wheat)
Lineage: Eukaryota; Viridiplantae; Streptophyta; Magnoliopsida; Poales; Poaceae
Source: Rfam
AGACUACUCCUUCCAUUCCAAAUUAUUUGUCGCGGGUAUGGAUGUAUCUAGAUGUAUUUUAGUUUUAGAUACAUUCAUUUUUACGACAAAUAAUUUAGAACGGAGGGAGUACUCU